AGUGAACGCUGGCGGUAGGCCUAACACAUGCCAGUCGAACGGCAGCACAGUAAGAGCUUGCUCUUACGGGUGGCGAGUGGCGGACGGGUGAGGAAUACAUCGGAAUCUACUUUUUCGUGGGGGAUAACGUAGGGAAACUUACGCUAAUACCGCAUACGACCUACGGGUGAAAGCAGGGGAUCUUCGGACCUUGCGCGAUUGAAUGAGCCGAUGUCGGAUUAGCUAGUUGGCGGGGUAAAGGCCCACCAAGGCGACGAUCCGUAGCUGGUCUGAGAGGAUGAUCAGCCACACUGGAACUGAGACACGGUCCAGACUCCUACGGGAGGCAGCAGUGGGGAAUAUUGGACAAUGGGCGCAAGCCUGAUCCAGCCAUACCGCGUGGGUGAAGAAGGCCUUCGGGUUGUAAAGCCCUUUUGUUGAGAAAGAAAAGCAGCAGGUUAAUACCCCGCUGUUCUGACGGUACCCAAAGAAUAAGCACCGGCUAACUUCGUG
Molecule: ribosomal RNA, 492 nt
Filed under: uncultured bacterium
Lineage: Bacteria
Description: partial 16S ribosomal RNA
Rfam family: Bacterial small subunit ribosomal RNA
Source: RNAcentral